CCUACGGGUGGCAGCAGUGAGGAAUAUUGGUCAAUGGUCGGGAGACUGAACCAGCCAAGCCGCGUGAGGGAGGAAGGUACAGAGUAUCGUAAACCUCUUUUGUCAGGGAACAAAGACUGGGACGCGUCCCCGGAUGAGGGUACCUGAAGAAAAAGCAUCGGCUAACUCCGUGCCAACAGCCGCGGGAAUACGGAGGAUGCGAGCGUUAUCCGGAUUUAUGGGGUUUAAAGGGUGCGCAGGCGGUCUGUUAAGUCAGCGGUCAAAGCUCGGGGCUCAAACCCGGCCCGCCGUUGAAACUGGCAGUCGCGAGUUGGAGAGAAGUAUGCGGAAUGCGCGGUGUAGCGGUGAAAUGCAUAGAUAGCGCGCAGAACUCCGAUUGCGAAGGCAGCAUGCCGGCUCCACACUGACGCUGAGGCACGAAAGCGUGGGUAUCGAACAGGAUUAGAUACCCCGGUAGUC
Molecule: ribosomal RNA, 459 nt
Filed under: uncultured bacterium
Lineage: Bacteria
Description: partial 16S ribosomal RNA
Rfam family: Bacterial small subunit ribosomal RNA
Source: RNAcentral